RNAcentral lists this ribosomal RNA (279 nucleotides) under uncultured bacterium. RNAcentral's name for it is "partial 16S ribosomal RNA". It matches the Rfam family "Bacterial small subunit ribosomal RNA", at positions 123 to 406 of the family's 1533-position model. The record is from RNAcentral.
UACAUGCCCUUCAGUGGGGAAUAGCCCAGGGAAACUUGGAUUAAUACCCCAUGGUAUCGCAAGAUUAAAGGUGGCCAGCAAUGGCUGUCGCUGAAGGAUUGGUUCGCGCCCUAUCAGCUUGUUGGUGAGGUAACGGCUCACCAAGGCUACGACGGGUACCUGGUCUGAGAGGACGAUCAGGCACACUGGAACUGAGACACGGUCCAGACACCUACGGGUGGCAGCAGUCGAGAAUAAUUCACAAUGGGGGCAACCCUGGUGGUGCAACGCCGCGUGGAG